ACGUGCCCGAUCGUGGGGGAUAACGCAGCGAAAGCUGUGCUAAUACCGCAUACGAUCUACGGAUGAAAGCGGGGGAUCGCAAGACCUCGCGCGGACGGAGCGGCCGAUGGCAGAUUAGGUAGUUGGUGGGGUAAAGGCCUACCAAGCCGACGAUCUGUAGCUGGUCUGAGAGGACGACCAGCCACACUGGGACUGAGACACGGCCCAGACUCCUACGGGAGGCAGCAGUGGGGAAUUUUGGACAAUGGGCGCAAGCCUGAUCCAGCCAUGCCGCGUGCAGGAUGAAGGCCUUCGGGUUGUAAACUGCUUUUGUACGGAACGAAAAGGUUUCUUUUAAUACAGGGAACUGAUGACGGUACCGUAAGAAUAAGCACCGGCUAACUACGUGCCAGCAGCCGCGGUAAUACGUAGGGUGCGAGCGUUAAUCGGAAUUACUGGGCGUAAAGCGUGCGCAGGCGGUGAUGUAAGACAGAGGUGAAAUCCCCGGGCUCAACCUGGGAACUGCCUUUGUGACUGCAUCGCUGGAGUGCGGCAGAGGGGGAUGGAAUUCCGCGUGUAGCAGUGAAAUGCGUAGAUAUGCGGAGGAACACCGAUGGCGAAGCAAUCCCCUGGGCCUGCAC
RNAcentral lists this ribosomal RNA (620 nucleotides) under Pseudacidovorax sp. RNAcentral's name for it is "bacterial SSU rRNA". It matches the Rfam family "Bacterial small subunit ribosomal RNA", at positions 124 to 740 of the family's 1533-position model. Lineage: Bacteria; Pseudomonadati; Pseudomonadota; Betaproteobacteria; Burkholderiales; Comamonadaceae. The record is from RNAcentral.